This 406-nucleotide long non-coding RNA is filed under the name Homo sapiens (human). Its description in RNAcentral is "HSALNT0151338". Lineage: Eukaryota; Metazoa; Chordata; Mammalia; Primates; Hominidae. The record is from RNAcentral.
CGGAGUCCUAGCCUGGAGUGAAGGAGACGACUUUAUGCAACCAUUCGCUUAGAGACUGGGAAAAAAAACGAUUUAAAUUGACUCAUCGAUUCUGUUGCAUCUAAUGCCAAAAGGGCCUAUUACCAGAAAAUAAGUUUGUAGCAAAGUAGAAGAAAAUUGUGAUCAGACACCUUCAGCAGUAAACAAGAUAAAACAACUUCUUAAAGAUAAGCCUGAGCAUGUAGGUGUAAAAGUUGGUGUCCGAACCAGGGGCUGUAAUGGCCUUUCUUAUACUCUAGAAUAUACAAAGACAAAAGGAGAUUCUGAUGAAGAAGUUAUUCAAGAUGGUGAGUUUUUAACAAACAUUUUUUGGGCACAUUGUUUUGCCUAAAAUUAUUAGCCUUGCACAGCACAAAGUAAAAAAUAA